GGGGAAUUUUGCGCAAUGGGCGAAAGCCUGACGCAGCAACGCCGCGUGGGUGAUGAAGGUCUUCGGAUCGUAAAACCCUGUCGUCAGGGACGAAGGUUGCGUGUCGAAUAGAUGCGUAACUUGACGGUACCUGGAGAGGAAGCCCCGGCUAACUCUGUGCCAGCAGCCGCGGUAAUACAGAGGGGGCAAGCGUUAUUCGGAAUUAUUGGGCGUAAAGGGCGCGUAGGCGGUGCCUUAAGUGAGAUGUGUAAUCCCCGAGCUUAACUUGGGAACUGCAUCUCAGACUGGGGCGCUAGAGUACUGGAGAGGGUGGUAGAAUUCCACGUGUAGCGGUGAAAUGCGUAGAGAUGUGGAGGAAUACCGGUGGCGAAGGCGGCCCCCUGGACAAAGACUGACGCUCAGGUGCGAAAGCGUGGGGAGCAAAC
RNAcentral lists this ribosomal RNA (425 nucleotides) under uncultured bacterium. RNAcentral describes it as "bacterial SSU rRNA". It matches the Rfam family "Bacterial small subunit ribosomal RNA", at positions 356 to 773 of the family's 1533-position model. The record is from RNAcentral.